This is a long non-coding RNA of Lontra canadensis (Northern American river otter), 684 nucleotides long. RefSeq lists it as uncharacterized. The transcript is spliced from 3 exons. NCBI's taxonomy places the organism in Eukaryota, Metazoa, Chordata, Mammalia, Carnivora, Mustelidae. The record is from RefSeq and is a predicted model, not a curated record.
AGGCCCCACCGGGGACUUCUCAUCGACCCAGUAGCUGAACGAGUCAUGGGAGCCUGCGUGGAGAGCAACAAAGGUGGGGAACCAGGGAAUGCAACAAACCUCAGGGAUGAUCAUACUUUUGGCAAAUAGUUCAGAAUGUUGGCAGAUGCCCAAAAGGAAGAGGAUCUGGCGUGGACAUAUGCUUGAAACCACUGUCGUCACCUCAGUCAGUGAACUAAAAUGAAAAAUAAAAACACUGCAAGUACUUUUUUAAUAACAGCAGCCUCAUUUGCACUUCUUACAUAAGCAAGAACAUUCUUACAGAUAGCAUGGGGGAUUGGACAUUAUUGUCAUCAUUCUACUGAGGCUCAGAGGUCUUCAGCAACUUGGUAAAGAGAACCAGACAAGCGAUUCUGGUCUUUUGACCAGAACCCAUAUUCUCCAUGGAAACUGCCUCCUAAUAGAAGAAGUGUUUCUCUUAUGUGGGUUAAAAUACUCCUCCAGAGACAAAAUCUUUAAAUUCUGGGACUAACGACUGAAGGUUUUCAAAUAAUCCCUUUGCCAACCUUACCCCCGCCUUCACCCACACAGUCACUGUGCACUGUGAGGAUAGGGCUGAGAUGGGAAGAAAGGCUCUACGGAAUCCUUGUAUUGGUUGAUACUGGGUGGUUAAUGUCAGAAUCCCUUACAUUUGAAUCAGUGAAC